GUCCCCUUCGUCUAGAGGCCGUGACACCGCCCCUUUCAUGGCGGUAACAGGGGGGUUCGAAUCCCCUAGGGGACGCCA
RNAcentral lists this transfer RNA (78 nucleotides) under Escherichia coli. Its description in RNAcentral is "tRNA-Glu". Lineage: Bacteria; Pseudomonadati; Pseudomonadota; Gammaproteobacteria; Enterobacterales; Enterobacteriaceae. The record is from RNAcentral.